Molecule: ribosomal RNA, 440 nt
Filed under: uncultured bacterium
Lineage: Bacteria
Description: partial 16S ribosomal RNA
Rfam family: Bacterial small subunit ribosomal RNA
Source: RNAcentral
CCUACGGGAGGCAGCAGUGGGGGAUAUUGCACAAUGGGGGGAACCCUGAUGCAGCGACGCCGCGUGAGCGAAGAAGUACCUCGGUAUGUAAAGCUCUAUCAGCAGGGAAGAAAAUGACGGUACCUGACUCAGAAGCCCCGGCUAAAUACGUGCCAGCAGCCGCGGUAAUACGUAUGGGGCAAGCGGUAUCCGGAUUUACUGGGUGUAAAGGGAGCGCAGGCGGCCUGCCAAGUCUGGUGUGAAACCCCGGGGCCCAACCCCGGGCCUGCAUUGGAAACUGGCGGGCUGGAGUGGCGGAGGGGCAGGCGGAAUUCCUAGUGUAGCGGUGAAAUGCGUAGAUAUUAGGAGGAACACCGGUGGCGAAGGCGGCCUGCUGGACGAUGACUGACGCUGAGGCUCGAAAGCGUGGGGAGCAAACAGGAUUAGAUACCCCUGUAGUC